This 484-nucleotide ribosomal RNA is filed under the name uncultured bacterium. RNAcentral describes it as "partial 16S ribosomal RNA". It matches the Rfam family "Bacterial small subunit ribosomal RNA", at positions 30 to 507 of the family's 1533-position model. The record is from RNAcentral.
AUUGAACGCUGGCGGCAGGCCUAACACAUGCAAGUCGAGCGGAUGAAGGGAGCUUGCUCCUGGAUUCAGCGGCGGACGGGUGAGUAAUGCCUAGGAAUCUGCCUGGUAGUGGGGGAUAACGUCCGGAAACGGGCGCUAAUACCGCAUACGUCCUGAGGGAGAAAGUGGGGGAUCUUCGGACCUCACGCUAUCAGAUGAGCCUAGGUCGGAUUAGCUAGGUGGUGGGGUAAAGGCCUACCAAGGCGACGAUCCGUAACUGGUCUGAGAGGAUGAUCAGUCACCCUGGAACUGAGACACGGUCCAGACUCCUACGGGAGGCAGCAGUGGGGAAUAUUGGACAAUGGGCGAAAGCCUGAUCCAGCCAUGCCGCGUGUGUGAAGAAGGUCUUCGGAUUGUAAAGCACUUUAAGUUGGGAGGAAGGGCAGUAAGUUAAUACCUUGCUGUUUUGACGUUACCAACAGAAUAAGCACCGGCUAACUUCGUG